AUUGAACGCUGGCGGCAUGCCUUACACAUGCAAGUCGAACGGCAGCACGGGUGCUUGCACCUGGUGGCGAGUGGCGAACGGGUGAGUAAUACAUCGGAACAUGUCCUGUAGUGGGGGAUAGCCCGGCGAAAGCCGGAUUAAUACCGCAUACGAUCUACGGAUGAAAGCGGGGGACCUUCGGGCCUCGCGCUAUAGGGUUGGCCGAUGGCUGAUUAGCUAGUUGGUGGGGUAAAGGCCUACCAAGGCGACGAUCAGCGGCUGGUCUGAGAGGACGACCAGCCACACUGGGACUGAGACACGGCCCAGACUCCUACGGGAGGCAGCAGUGGGGAAUUUUGGACAAUGGGCGAAAGCCUGAUCCAGCAAUGCCGCGUGUGUGAAGAAGGCCUUCGGGUUGUAAAGCACUUUUGUCCGGAAAGAAAUCCUUGGCCCUAAUACGGUCGGGGGAUGACGGUACCGGAAGAAUAAGCACCGGCUAACUACGUG
This 486-nucleotide ribosomal RNA is filed under the name uncultured bacterium. RNAcentral describes it as "partial 16S ribosomal RNA". It matches the Rfam family "Bacterial small subunit ribosomal RNA", at positions 30 to 507 of the family's 1533-position model. The record is from RNAcentral.